GGGGCUGAUUCUGGAUUUGACGGGAUUUGCGAAACCCAAGGUGCAUGCCGAGGGGCGGUUGGCCUCGUAAAAAGCCGCAAAAAAUAGUCGCAAACGACGAAAACUACGCUUUAGCAGCUUAAUAACCUGCUUAGAGCCCUCUCUCCCUAGCCUCCGCUCUUAGGACGGGGAUCAAGAGAGGUCAAACCCAAAAGAGAUCGCGUGGAAGCCCUGCCUGGGGUUGAAGCGUUAAAACUUAAUCAGGCUAGUUUGUUAGUGGCGUGUCCGUCCGCAGCUGGCAAGCGAAUGUAAAGACUGACUAAGCAUGUAGUACCGAGGAUGUAGGAAUUUCGGACGCGGGUUCAACUCCCGCCAGCUCCACCA
RNAcentral lists this transfer-messenger RNA (363 nucleotides) under Escherichia coli. It matches the Rfam family "transfer-messenger RNA". Rfam says of the family: Bacterial tmRNA, also known as 10Sa RNA or SsrA, is named for its dual tRNA and mRNA-like properties. Its role is to liberate the mRNA from a stalled ribosome. Lineage: Bacteria; Pseudomonadati; Pseudomonadota; Gammaproteobacteria; Enterobacterales; Enterobacteriaceae. The record is from RNAcentral.